AACUUUCAGCAACGGAUCUCUUGGCUCUCGCAUCGAUGAAGAACGCAGCGAAAUGCGAUAAGUAAUGUGAAUUGCAGAAUUCAGUGAAUCAUCGAAUCUUUGAACGCACCUUGCGCUCCUUGGUAUUCCGAGGAGCAUGCCUGUUUGAGUGUCAUGGAACU
Molecule: ribosomal RNA, 161 nt
Filed under: Trametes coccinea
Lineage: Eukaryota; Fungi; Basidiomycota; Agaricomycetes; Polyporales; Polyporaceae
Description: 5.8S ribosomal RNA
Rfam family: 5.8S ribosomal RNA
About the family: 5.8S ribosomal RNA (5.8S rRNA) is a component of the large subunit of the eukaryotic ribosome. It is transcribed by RNA polymerase I as part of the 45S precursor that also contains 18S and 28S rRNA. Functionally, it is thought that 5.8S rRNA may be involved in ribosome translocation.
Source: RNAcentral